RNAcentral lists this long non-coding RNA (677 nucleotides) under Brassica napus (rape). Its description in RNAcentral is "long non-coding RNA (BNAP_LNC024429)". The record is from RNAcentral. Lineage: Eukaryota; Viridiplantae; Streptophyta; Magnoliopsida; Brassicales; Brassicaceae.
AUUUUAUUAAAAAGUGAUAUAAACAUAUAUUCUAUGGUUAACUAAUCUAGAUUUAUGAUUUAGAGUAAGGGUUGGGAUUUUGAAAGUGAGAUUUCAAAUUUUUAAAAAUAAAAAAUAAAAAUUUUAAAAUGAAAAAGUUAUUUUGUUUUUUUUAAGACUAUUUUGAUGAUAAUAGCUUAAAAGCCUAUUUGAGAAAACUGUUCUUUGAUGUUAUCUGAAUUGUUUUUUGAAAAAAAUGUUAUCUAAAUUGUUAGUAUGUUUUUUAUUUAUUAUUUAUGAUUUUGUCAAGUUAAAAAAACCUUUGGAAUCUUUUAUUUUAUGGUUGCAUGGACAAUUUCAGAUUUUUCCGUUGCUAUUCCAAAAUGUAAAUUUUUUUAAAAUAUUUUUUUUUUUGUAACAUAAAAAUAAGUAACCAUUUUUACACUUGUGCUAUCGGAAUAUAGAAUCAAUAGCAUAAGUAUAAUAUUGGAGAAUAACUCUAAAUGCCCCUCAUACCCUCUUAAAACCAUUUCCACUGCCCUCUCUCUAUUCUCACCACCUUUUAUCCUUGCAUUCCCAAAUUUAGUCUUCCAUUUACAUUUAAUUUCUCAAUUAAAUAAAUUUCCAUAAAUCAGAUCUCCAACCACCCGACCCCACAAACAACUUUAACCAAUUACAUCAAUCAACUCAUUCUCUCU